UACGAAGGGAGCUAGCGUUGUUCGGAAUCACUGGGCGUAAAGCGCACGUAGGCGGAUGUGUCAGUCAGGGGUGAAAUCCCGGAGCUCAACUUCGGAACUCCCUUUGAUACAGCACGUCUUGAGUCCGAUAGAGGUGGGUGGAAUUCCUAGUGUAGAGGUGAAAUUCGUAGAUAUUAGGAAGAACACCGGUGGCGAAGGCGGCCCACUGGAUCGGUACUGACGCUGAGGUGCGAAAGCGUGGGGAGCAAACAGG
RNAcentral lists this ribosomal RNA (253 nucleotides) under uncultured bacterium. RNAcentral's name for it is "partial 16S ribosomal RNA". It matches the Rfam family "Bacterial small subunit ribosomal RNA", at positions 524 to 776 of the family's 1533-position model. The record is from RNAcentral.